This 253-nucleotide ribosomal RNA is filed under the name uncultured bacterium. RNAcentral describes it as "partial 16S ribosomal RNA". It matches the Rfam family "Bacterial small subunit ribosomal RNA", at positions 524 to 776 of the family's 1533-position model. The record is from RNAcentral.
UACGUAGGUGGCGAGCGUUGUCCGGAAUUACUGGGUGUAAAGGGCGUGUAGGCGGGUUGGCAAGUCAGAUGUGAAAUACCACGGCUCAACUGUGGGGGUGCAUCUGAAACUGCCGAUCUUGAGUGCUGGAGAGGAAAGCGGAAUUCCACGUGUAGCGGUGAAAUGCGUAGAUAUGUGGAGGAACACCAGUGGCGAAGGCGGCUUUCUGGACAGUAACUGACGCUGAGGCGCGAAAGCGUGGGGAGCAAACAGG